UACGUAGGGUGCGAGCGUUGUCCGGAAUUAUUGGGCGUAAAGAGCUCGUAGGCGGUCUGUCGCGUCGGAUGUGAAAGCCCGGGGCUUAACUCCGGGUCUGCAUUCGAUACGGGCAGACUAGAGUGUGGUAGGGGAGAUCGGAAUUCCUGGUGUAGCGGUGAAAUGCGCAGAUAUCAGGAGGAACACCGGUGGCGAAGGCGGGUCUCUGGGCCGUAACUGACGCUGAGGAGCGAAAGCGUGGGGAGCGAACAGG
RNAcentral lists this ribosomal RNA (253 nucleotides) under uncultured bacterium. RNAcentral describes it as "partial 16S ribosomal RNA". It matches the Rfam family "Bacterial small subunit ribosomal RNA", at positions 524 to 776 of the family's 1533-position model. The record is from RNAcentral.